Molecule: non-coding RNA, 27 nt
Filed under: Mus musculus (house mouse)
Lineage: Eukaryota; Metazoa; Chordata; Mammalia; Rodentia; Muridae
Source: RNAcentral
UGCACUUACUGUGUGGAAACAGGCCGU